GUGAGGGAAAGGUGAAAAGUACCCCGGGAGGGGAGUGAAAUAGUACCUGAAACCGGGCGCUUACAAGCCGUCAGAGCCUUCCGCACCUUGUGUGUGGGGGUGGUGGCGUGCCUUUUGAAGAAUGAGCCUGCGAGUCAGCGGCAUGUCGCGAGGUUAACCCGUUAUGUGGGGUAGUCGUAGCGAAAGCGAAUCCUAAUUGGGUGUUGUAAGUGGCAUGUCCUGGACCCGAAGCGGGGUGAUCU
RNAcentral lists this ribosomal RNA (242 nucleotides) under Ctenophora environmental sample. RNAcentral's name for it is "partial Bacterial large subunit ribosomal RNA". It matches the Rfam family "Bacterial large subunit ribosomal RNA", at positions 503 to 731 of the family's 2925-position model. Lineage: Eukaryota; Metazoa; Ctenophora. The record is from RNAcentral.